RNAcentral lists this ribosomal RNA (508 nucleotides) under uncultured bacterium. RNAcentral's name for it is "SSU rRNA". It matches the Rfam family "Bacterial small subunit ribosomal RNA", at positions 26 to 521 of the family's 1533-position model. The record is from RNAcentral.
AGGACGAACGCUGGCGGCGUGCUUAACACAUGCAAGUGGUGCGACGAACCAGGGCUUGCCCUGGGGCCAAGCCGCGAACGGGUGAGUAACACGUGAGUAACCUGCCCCGAUGACCGGGACAACCCGAGGAAACUCGGGCUAAUACCGGAUGUGGCGCACAAUCGUAAGUUUGUGCGCUAAAGGAAGCUUCGGCCUCCGCAUUGGGAGGGGCUCGCGGCCCAUUAGCUUGUUGGUGGGGUAACGGCCUACCAAGGCAACGAUGGGUAGCUGGUCUGAGAGGACGAUCAGCCACACUGGGACUGAGACACGGCCCAGACUCCUACGGGAGGCAGCAGUGGGGAAUCUUGCGCAAUGCGCGAAAGCGUGACGCAGCAACGCCGCGUGGGGGAAGACGGCCUUCGGGUUGUAAACCCUUUCAGGAGGGACGAAGGUUCACCGGUGAAUAGCCGUGUGGAUUGACGGUACCUCCAGAAGAAGCUCCGGCUAACUACGCGCCAGCAGCCGCGGU